GUGGUUUUCGUUAGAACUAUUAUUUAAUUGCAAAAUAGAGUAAAUACUGACAGUACUGUUUAAAAUGUACGCUUUGUUUUUUGACCUGUUGUAUAAUAAUGUCACGUUUGCAGACAUGUGUAUUUGGAAACAAUUGCGUUCUUGCUCCUUAUCAACAUACAAGAACUCACACAAAGAGGUUCUGAUUGACUUCAGAGAUUCCAGUCACACAAGAGUGGCAGGUAAAAAUAGCUCCAUGCUUCAGGAACAGAGCUGCCAAAGAGCUGUGACAGUGGCAGGAACUGAACUGUGCCAUGCAG
This is a long non-coding RNA of Megalobrama amblycephala (Wuchang bream), 299 nucleotides long. RefSeq lists it as uncharacterized. The record is from RefSeq and is a predicted model, not a curated record. Lineage: Eukaryota; Metazoa; Chordata; Actinopteri; Cypriniformes; Xenocyprididae. The transcript has 2 exons.